This 254-nucleotide ribosomal RNA is filed under the name uncultured bacterium. RNAcentral describes it as "partial 16S ribosomal RNA". It matches the Rfam family "Bacterial small subunit ribosomal RNA", at positions 524 to 776 of the family's 1533-position model. The record is from RNAcentral.
UACGGGGGGGGCAAGCGUUGUUCGGAAUUACUGGGCGUAAAGGGUUCGUAGGUGGCUCGCUAAGUCAGACGUGAAAUCCCUCAGCUUAACUGGGGAACUGCGUCUGAGACUGGCAAGCUUGAGUGCAGGAGAGGAACGCGGAAUUCCAGGUGUAGCGGUGAAAUGCGUAGAUAUCUGGAGGAACACCGGUGGCGAAAGCGGUCUCCUGGGCCGAGGGCCGACGCUGAGGCGCGAGAGCGUGGGGAGCGAACCGG